UCCGAGAGCCCGAGGGCGGCGUUCGCUGGUAAAUAGAGAGGCUCUGGGUCCCUCGCUUCGCCGGUGGAAGACUUGGGGUCAGCAAGUGGACAUGCGCAGCCGACGGGCUGGGAGGACCGACGCCUGACCCGUCUGUGCACCUGCUGACUUCCGGGGGCGCGUGCCUCGGCCCAAGUCCCGGUUCCAGAAACCUUGGUGGAAGAAGGCACCUGAACCUUGAGUUCCGGGCUGGGGAAGAAGAACUUUGUUUUAAGGCCCGCGUCCUCUGAGCCUCAUCCACACCAAGAAUGUUGAUGGCGUGCGAGCUCUUACUCUUUAAAACCCUUCACUCUGUAAACGAGCGUAGCGAGGCAGUCCUACCUUCCUGGGGGCUCAGAUCCUGGAAUUCCGGCCACAGGAAAAUCGAGUGAGCCUACAGUGUACUUAGCACCAGAGAAGGAGGGGGCUCCGGAAAGGACAAGGACUCCGCUAACUCUCAUCGGUUGUAUGCGUUGCUUCUCAGCUUUGAAGGCCAAGACCAUAAAUCAGAGCAACAGCUGUUGAUGAGAACUUGGAAGAUGGGUUGUCAUUAGUCAAACCCACCAUAGCACACAGCACAUAAACCCAGCCAGGAGACGCAGCUGUCCUGGUUUGGGAUGAUUUUAUCUCUUUUCCUGCUAUUCAGCUACUUAGGAACUAACUUAGGUAAGGGUGUGGUGGUGGCUCCUGCUAACCUGCGCUUGAGCGGAUGGCGGGAGAAUCGCCCCUACUUCAAAACCUUGUAAUAACAAUAGUAAUAAUAGGCCGGACAUUGGUGGCGCACGCCUUUAAUCCCAGAUCUCGGGAGGCAGAGGCAGGUAGAUCUCUGUGAGUUUGAGGCCAGCCUGGUCUCCAGAGCGAGUGCAGGACAGGCUCCAAAGCUACACAGAGAACCCCUGUCUCGAAAAACAAACAAAAAAGUAAUAAUAAUAAUAAUAAUAAUAAUAAUAAUAAUAAUAAUAAUAGAAACCGAUUUAGCAAUUAGGUUUUCGAAUGUGUCCACACUUGUUCUAGUGACAGCUCAUCUAACCAAGGAUACAUGUUACCUUUCGCCAGAUAGGAGUCUUCAGAGCUCAGUUCUCAACCCCAAACGGGGGUGCAGAUGAUGAUGGGGAGCCUCUGAAACCAACAGUAGAUAAUCGCAUAGAAGCAUAUUUGAGAGUAAAAGUCAAAAACCCAAUGUGAAACACCACAGCUUUAGUUUUGAAUGGCUACUUUUGACAGUCUGGACGUUUAUUGAAUUGUAUAGACUUUGGAUCUGGUUCAUUUCAUUGGUUUUUGUUUAUGUUUUUGGUAAUGAUUUUUAUAAUAAAGUUUAAAAAAUCUGGGAUCAAUA
Cricetulus griseus (Chinese hamster) is the source of this 1354-nucleotide non-coding RNA. The record is from RefSeq and is a predicted model, not a curated record. Lineage: Eukaryota; Metazoa; Chordata; Mammalia; Rodentia; Cricetidae.